This 2841-nucleotide long non-coding RNA is filed under the name Manihot esculenta (cassava). RNAcentral's name for it is "long non-coding RNA (MESC_LNC005058)". Lineage: Eukaryota; Viridiplantae; Streptophyta; Magnoliopsida; Malpighiales; Euphorbiaceae. The record is from RNAcentral.
CAGAUUUCAGAAGACACAAAGGCAUCAAGACAAGCAUACUGAACCUGAUCAGGAGUAAGCCAUGGAUUGUCCCAUCUACUCAUUGUGACUCUCUUGGGCUUAUUAAUUUCCUUCCCCAACACUUCCUUGACCAAAUUCUUCAACCCAGCAUUCUUCAGCUCCCGCAUUCCUAGCUUCUCCGCAGCCAAGUUCCUCAAAUCCACUGUGUUUCUCACACUCAACCCAUAAUCCUCCACCAGCUUUUCAACGUCACUACCAAUUCCAACGCCCACAAACAAGAAAUUCUCACUGAGAAGAAAUUCCACAAGAGAUUGUGGGAUAGUUGGGGAAUAUAUGAGCUGAAAAAUGAGGCAUUUGUGAUCAAUGCAGAGCUGUAGAGUGGCGAUUGGGUUCUCGAUAUGGCGGUUGAAAUUGGGACGCCACUCGACAUCUAGGCCAACGAUGGUAGGGUUUUGGUGAAGUAGUUGUUGAGUUUCGGUAAUCCAUUGGUCGACGAGGGAGGGAGUGUUGGUGACUAGAGUGUGGAUCUGGUCCGUGAAGAAGGUGAUAUCGUAGAGAUUGUGUGUGUCGUUGGUGAGUUGGUAGUCUAUGAUGCUCACUGUCAUUGUGCUCUAAAUUGUGAAACAGGCCAACCGAGUUUUCCCCAAGGAUGAAAAGGAAGCUGAGAAGUGAACAGGCAAUUUUUUGCUUUUGUAGAAUUUUUUUUGUUUUGAGGAAAGGAGUAUUGGGGACUAAACUAUUAAGGGUGUGAGAGGGCUAUGUAUUCGUAUAAAUAAUAAUUUUUUAAGUUAUUGAUUAUAUAUUAAGAUGGAUGUACUUAAUAACCCAAGUUUUUUAGAAAUUUUAAAAUUUUGAGUAUUAAAUAUUUAAAAAACCUUAUUUUUCUCUCAAAUAAAAAAAAAUUAUUAAAAUCUACAAAAUGCAUGAAAUAUAAUUGUAUAAAAUCACAUUUUAAAAAACUUUAACCUGCUCUAACUUCUCUUGGACAAAGUUUAAGUAAAAGUGGCUUUAUAUGUAUAUGAGUGGAAGUAUAUUAUAAUUAGAGACCCAAUUACAAUUAGGUUUGAUUUCAGAAUCGAUUUGAAUUGAGAAAAGGAUUAAAACGUUUUCCAUUCCUCUUAAUAAUUCAAUCCUUUUUCUUAAAAUAGAAGAUUAGAAAUAUCAAUUUCAUAGAAUUUGUAUCCAUUCAUAAUCCUCAUAUUUAGAAUAAAUAAUUUUAAAAAAAAUUCAUUUUUUUAUUUAGAGUUAACUUACAAAAUUUUAAUUUUUAAAUAAAAGGGAAUAAAAAAUGAUUUUAUAAGAAUUUAUUUAAAAUUUUUUAUUAUAAAACAAAUUAUGCUAAGCAGAGAAUAUGAAUAAAAUGAAAUCAUAUAUGAUUUGAUUCCUAGCUUAAGAGUUAAGGAAUCUUUUUCCUUUUCUUUUUAGUUAUUUUUUCCAAUAAAAGAAUAGAACAAACAAGGCCGAUGUUUGUUGUCAAAGGAAAAUAAUGGGAGUUGCUAUUUCUGCGGCUAAUAUUGCAAUUGGUACAGGUGAUUGGAUGUCAUAAACUUUUAUUUCUCAAUAAUAACUGCAUUAAUGCAUUGAACCAAUGAGACAGUCUUUCUAAAAUCAAAUAGAUUUUCAUCCUGCCAAUGAUAGAUCUGAUGGGAAUGCAAGCUUCUCAUUAAUGAUAAAGAUUAAAAUUUGGAGGGUUUAAGCAGAGCAAGUUCAUAAUAUCUUUUCCAUGAGCAAUAAUGCAAAUUAUAAAUGCGUAAUAAUAGGCCUUUUGGAUCCAUUUCAACAUAUUUUUUAUUUAUUUGACUGCAAUGAUCAUCUCCACAACAGCAAACAAAACACAAGCCAAACAGAAAAUUUGAGAAGUAUCCAAAGUUCACAAGCUUUCCAGAGAAAGCAGCAUGGAAAUUUUAAGCAAUUAGUCCUCAAGCAGCAGCAGCAGCAGCAGCAGCAGCAGCAGCAGCAGCAGCAGCAGCCGCAGCAGCAGCCGCAGCCGCCGCAGCAGCAGCCGCAGCAGCGCAGAAGCAGAAGAAGAAGCAGAAGCAGAAGCAGAAGAAGAAGCAGAAGCAGAAGCAGAAGAAGAAGAAGAAGAAGAAGAAUUCAAUCUCCUGCCGAUUUCAGAAGACACAAAGGCAUCAAGACAAGCAUACUGAACCUGAUCAGAAGUAAGCCAUUGAUUGUCCCAUUCACUCCUUGUGACUAUCUCGGGCUUAUUAAUUUCCUUCCCCAACACUUCCUUGGCCAAAUUCUUCAACCCAGCAUUCUUCCUAAUUCCUAGCUUCUCCGCAGCCAAGUUCCUCAAAUCCACUGUGUUUCUCACACUCAACCCAUAAUCCUCCACCAGCUUUUCAACGUCAUUCCCAAUUUCAACCCCCACAAACACGAAAUUCUUACUGAGAAGAAAUUCGACAAGAGAUUGUGGGAUAAAUGGGGAAUGUAUGAGCUGAAAAAUGAGGCAUCUGUGAUCAAUGCAAAGCUGUAGAGUGGCGAUUCGGUUCUUGGUAUAGCGGUCGUUGGGACGCCACUCGACAUCUAGGCCAACGAUGGUAGGGUUUUGGUGAAGUAGUUGUUGGGUUUCGGUAAUCCAUUGGUCGACGAGGGAGGGAGUGUUGGUGACUAGAGUGUGGAUCUGGUCCGUGAAGAAGGUGAUAUCGUAGGUGAUUUGGUAGUCUCUGAUGCUCACUGUCAUUGCGCUCUGAAUUGUGAAACAGGCCAACCGAGUUUUGCCCAAGGAUGAGAAGGAAGCUGAGAAGUGAACAGGCAAUUUUUUGCUUUUGUAGAAUUUUUUUUGUUUUGAGGAAAGGAGUAUUGGGGACUAAACUAUUAAGGGUGUGAGACUGAGAGGGC